GAUGAACGCUAGCGAUAGGCUUAACACAUGCAAGUCGAGGGGCAUCAGGGUCUUCGGACCGCUGGCGACCGGCGCACGGGUGAGUAACGCGUAUGCAACCUACCCAUACCUUUGGGAUAGCCCGUUGAAAGACGGAUUAAUACCGAAUAACACAGGGGCACCUCAUGGUGAUAUUUGUUAAAGAUGUAUUGGUUAUGGAUGGGCAUGCGUUGGAUUAGCUAGUUGGUUGGGGUAACGGCUCACCAAGGCAACGAUCCAUAGGGGAACUGAGAGGUUUCUCCCCCACACUGGUACUGAGACACGUACCAGUCUGCUACGGGAGGCAGCAGUGAGGAAUAUAGGUCAAUGGGCGAGAGCCUGAACCGGCCAAAUCGGGUGAAGGAUAACUGUAUUAUGUAUUGUAAACUUCUUUUAUGAGGGAAUAAAAAAGGGGACGCGUCCCUUAUUGCAUGUACCACAUGAAUAAGCAUCGGCUAACUCCGUGCCAGCCGCCGCCGUAA
RNAcentral lists this ribosomal RNA (500 nucleotides) under uncultured bacterium. RNAcentral's name for it is "partial 16S ribosomal RNA". It matches the Rfam family "Bacterial small subunit ribosomal RNA", at positions 28 to 523 of the family's 1533-position model. The record is from RNAcentral.